AUUUGGAAGAUAAAAAAACUUGUUGGAAAAAUUUAUAGUUCACAAAUAUAGUACUGUACUAAUAUCAACAGGCAUUGAAACAGAAAUUGUGAAAGGGAGCAGCAUGCUUAUACAUUCCGACGUAAUUUUGAACCUGACCUACAUUCUGUAUUGGUACAAUUCCGUGCUUAUAUAAUUAUCUGCAAGAAUUGUAAAUAGCGUGCAUGCCACAUCUCACAGUUUUGCUUCGGAUAUCGACGGAUGUUGAUGUGCGCGAAUCUUGCCAUGCAUUUCAGAGGUCUCUGAGAGUAACAUGGGAGAACACGUGGGAACUAGCAAUGUGUAUUCAUUUCAUACUCUGCUUGGUUCAGUGACAAUGGCAGUUCAGAACGAAAGCACAGAUGAAGGAAAAAGAGAUGAAAAUUAUGCCGAUAAGAAAGUAGCAGCAGAUAAUUCAAUCAACAGUGAUUUAUGGGGAUCUGAUAUGUAUCCUGAAAGAAGAGGAGCAAAGUUUAAGCCUAGCUGGUUUAAAACAUUGAUUGGUGCUGCAGGACGAGAAUCAGUAGAUAAAGCUAGAUGUGAAGAGAAUGUUUAUAGAUGCGUAAAAGAUAGUCCCAUUGUAAAACUCAUGUUGGGAGCUCUAAAAAGUUCUGGAUGUGAAGUUGAUAUACGGCGUCACAUCUCCUGUGAAAUAUGCGAUCCGAUAGUAACUGGUGGAUAUGAUUCUGAGUUAAAUCAGAUAAUUGUUUGUCAAAAUUCGGCAUCUGCUAAACGUGAAGUUCAGGGUAUUCUCCUACAUGAAAUGAUUCAUAUGUUUGACUACUGUCGUAAUAAAUUAAAUGUAAAAAAUAUUGAUCAUUUAGCCUGUACAGAAAUCAGAGCUGCAAAUAUUGGUCAUUGUAGUUUUUUGAGCUCAGUGUUUCAAGGCAAUUCAUCCUUCAGUAAUAUAAAAGCAACACAUCAGAACUGUGUAAAACACAAGGCUAAAAUGUCAGUAAUGGCUGUACAUAAAGUAUCAGCAGAAGUAGCAGAAGCAGCCAUAGACAGAGUAUUCACAAAGUGUUAUAACGAUUUAGAACCAGUUGGUAGAAGAAUUCGUAGAAAUUCAGCAGAUAUGCCGAGAGCAUACGCAGAAGCAUAUUUGUAUGGAUAUAUGUAAAUGUACAAAGAAAAAAGAAUGAAGAAAAUUGUACAUUGACUCAAUUAGAUUGUUAUGGACAAACGCUGUAGAACUUUUAUUCGGGAUCUUUUUCUUGGCAUAAUGACAGCCUGCGGUCAAUAUGCGAUUGCCGCCGCUAUUAGUUCUGCCUGGUGACGUGAAAGAGGAGCAAACCGAAUCAAUAAUGUUGAAGAUAUUAUAUUGGCCAAUGCGUUCGGAGAAACAGCCAGCGAUGCUGUGCUCUAUUGCGACAGACCUGGUAAAGAGGAAAUCGACCACAGGGAGACAAGGUGCGCGCUACGUGCCAAGAUACUUCUGUGAUCCGGAGAU
Linepithema humile (Argentine ant) is the source of this 1468-nucleotide non-coding RNA. Lineage: Eukaryota; Metazoa; Arthropoda; Insecta; Hymenoptera; Formicidae. The record is from RefSeq and is a predicted model, not a curated record.